RNAcentral lists this ribosomal RNA (274 nucleotides) under uncultured bacterium. Its description in RNAcentral is "partial 16S ribosomal RNA". It matches the Rfam family "Bacterial small subunit ribosomal RNA", at positions 523 to 796 of the family's 1533-position model. The record is from RNAcentral.
AUACGGAGGGUGCAAGCGUUACUCGGAAUCACUGGGCGUAAAGCGCGCGCAGGCGGUCUUUUAAGUUGGAUGUGAAAGCCUACGGCUCAACCGUAGAACUGCAUCCAAAACUAUUAGACUAGAGUGUGGGAGAGGAAGAUGGAAUUAGUUGUGUAGGGGUAAGAUCCGUAGAGAUAACUAGGAAUACCAAAAGCGAAGGCAAUCUUCUGGAACACUACUGACGCUGAGGCGCGAAAGCGUGGGGAGCAAACAGGAUUAGAAACCCGUGUAGUCC